CCUACGGGUGGCUGCAGUAGGGAAUAUUGGACAAUGGGUGCAAGCCUGAUCCAGCCAUGCCGCGUGCAGGAAGACGGCCUUCUGGGUUGUAAACUGCUUUUGCCAGGGGAUAAAAUACUCGUGCGCGAGGAAUUGAAAGUACCUGGUGAAUAAGCCACGGCUAACUACGUGCCAGCAGCCGCGGUAAUACGUAGGUGGCAAGCGUUGUCCGGAUUUAUUGGGUUUAAAGGGUGCGUAGGCGGCCCUGUAAGUCAGUUGUGAAAUACGGCAGCUUA
This 275-nucleotide ribosomal RNA is filed under the name uncultured Ohtaekwangia sp. RNAcentral describes it as "partial 16S ribosomal RNA". It matches the Rfam family "Bacterial small subunit ribosomal RNA", at positions 338 to 611 of the family's 1533-position model. The record is from RNAcentral. Lineage: Bacteria; Pseudomonadati; Bacteroidota; Cytophagia; Cytophagales; Fulvivirgaceae.